This 489-nucleotide ribosomal RNA is filed under the name uncultured bacterium. RNAcentral describes it as "bacterial SSU rRNA". It matches the Rfam family "Bacterial small subunit ribosomal RNA", at positions 28 to 477 of the family's 1533-position model. The record is from RNAcentral.
GACGAACGCUGGCGGCGUGCCUAAUACAUGCAAGUCGAACGCACUCUCGUUUAGAUUGAAGGAGCUUGCUCCUGAUUGAUAAACAUUUGAGUGAGUGGCGGACGGGUGAGUAACACGUGGGUAACCUGCCCUAAAGUGGGGGAUAACAUUUGGAAACAGAUGCUAAUACCGCAUAAAACCUAACACCGCAUGGUGUAGGGUUGAAAGAUGGUUUCGGCUAUCACUUUAGGAUGGACCCGCGGUGCAUUAGUUAGUUGGUGAGGUAAAGGCUCACCAAGACCGUGAUGCAUAGCCGACCUGAGAGGGUAAUCGGCCACACUGGGACUGAGACACGGCCCAGACUCCUACGGGAGGCAGCAGUAGGGAAUCUUCCACAAUGGACGAAGUCUGAUGGAGCAACGCCGCGUGAGUGAAGAAGGUUUUCGGAUCGUAAAACUCUGUUGUUGGAGAAGAAUGUAUCUGAUAGUAACUGAUCAGGUAGUGACGGUA